UAUUUACUCACUGGAAAAUUG
Molecule: non-coding RNA, 21 nt
Filed under: Caenorhabditis elegans
Lineage: Eukaryota; Metazoa; Nematoda; Chromadorea; Rhabditida; Rhabditidae
Source: RNAcentral